ACUAAGCGUACACGGUGGAUGCCCUGGCAGUCAGAGGCGAUGAAGGACGUGCUAAUCUGCGAUAAGCGUCGGUAAGGUGAUAUGAACCGUUAUAACCGGCGAUUUCCGAAUGGGGAAACCCAGUGUGUUUCGACACACUAUCAUUAACUGAAUCCAUAGGUUAAUGAGGCGAACCGGGGGAACUGAAACAUCUAAGUACCCCGAGGAAAAGAAAUCAACCGAGAUUCCCCCAGUAGCGGCGAGCGAACGGGGAGGAGCCCAGAGCCUGAAUCAGUGUGUGUGUUAGUGGAAGCGUCUGGAAAGGCGCGCGAUACAGGGUGACAGCCCCGUACACAAAAAUGCACAUGCUGUGAGCUCGAUGAGUAGGGCGGGACACGUGGUAUCCUGUCUGAAUAUGGGGGACCAUCCUCCAAGGCUAAAUACUCCUGACUGACCGAUAGUGAACCAGUACCGUGAGGGAAAGGCGAAAAGAACCCCGGCGAGGGGAGUGAAAAAGAACCUGAAACCGUGUACGUACAAGCAGUGGGAGCACAGAGCAAUCUGUGUGACUGCGUACCUUUUGUAUAAUGGGUCAGCGACUUAUAUUCUGUAGCAAGGUUAACCGAAUAGGGGAGCCGAAGGGAAACCGAGUCUUAACUGGGCGUUAAGUUGCAGGGUAUAGACCCGAAACCCGGUGAUCUAGCCAUGGGCAGGUUGAAGGUUGGGUAACACUAACUGGAGGACCGAACCGACUAAUGUUGAAAAAUUAGCGGAUGACUUGUGGCUGGGGGUGAAAGGCCAAUCAAACCGGGAGAUAGCUGGUUCUCCCCGAAAGCUAUUUAGGUAGCGCCUCGUGAAUUCAUCUCCGGGGGUAGAGCACUGUUUCGGCAAGGGGGUCAUCCCGACUUACCAACCCGAUGCAAACUGCGAAUACCGGAGAAUGUUAUCACGGGAGACACACGGCGGGUGCUAACGUCCGUCGUGAAGAGGGAAACAACCCAGACCGCCAGCUAAGGUCCCAAAGUCAUGGUUAAGUGGGAAACGAUGUGGGAAGGCCCAGACAGCCAGGAUGUUGGCUUAGAAGCAGCCAUCAUUUAAAGAAAGCGUAAUAGCUCACUGGUCGAGUCGGCCUGCGCGGAAGAUGUAACGGGGCUAAACCAUGCACCGAAGCUGCGGCAGCGACGCUGAUGCGUUGUUGGGUAGGGGAGCGUUCUGUAAGCCUGUGAAGGUGUGCUGUGAGGCAUGCUGGAGGUAUCAGAAGUGCGAAUGCUGACAUAAGUAACGAUAAAGCGGGUGAAAAGCCCGCUCGCCGGAAGACCAAGGGUUCCUGUCCAACGUUAAUCGGGGCAGGGUGAGUCGACCCCUAAGGCGAGGCCGAAAGGCGUAGUCGAUGGGAAACAGGUUAAUAUUCCUGUACUUGGUGUUACUGCGAAGGGGGGACGGAGAAGGCUAUGUUGGCCGGGCGACGGUUGUCCCGGUUUAAGCGUGUAGGCUGGUUUUCCAGGCAAAUCCGGAAAACUAAGGCUGAGGCGUGAUGACGAGGCACUACGGUGCUGAAGCAACAAAUGCCCUGCUUCCAGGAAAAGCCUCUAAGCAUCAGGUAACAUCAAAUCGUACCCCAAACCGACACAGGUGGUCAGGUAGAGAAUACCAAGGCGCUUGAGAGAACUCGGGUGAAGGAACUAGGCAAAAUGGUGCCGUAACUUCGGGAGAAGGCACGCUGAUAUGUAGGUGAAGUCCCUCGCGGAUGGAGCUGAAAUCAGUCGAAGAUACCAGCUGGCUGCAACUGUUUAUUAAAAACACAGCACUGUGCAAACACGAAAGUGGACGUAUACGGUGUGACGCCUGCCCGGUGCCGGAAGGUUAAUUGAUGGGGUCAGCGCAAGCGAAGCUCUUGAUCGAAGCCCCGGUAAACGGCGGCCGUAACUAUAACGGUCCUAAGGUAGCGAAAUUCCUUGUCGGGUAAGUUCCGACCUGCACGAAUGGCGUAAUGAUGGCCAGGCUGUCUCCACCCGAGACUCAGUGAAAUUGAACUCGCUGUGAAGAUGCAGUGUACCCGCGGCAAGACGGAAAGACCCCGUGAACCUUUACUAUAGCUUGACACUGAACAUUGAGCCUUGAUGUGUAGGAUAGGUGGGAGGCUUUGAAGUGUGGACGCCAGUCUGCAUGGAGCCGACCUUGAAAUACCACCCUUUAAUGUUUGAUGUUCUAACGUUGACCCGUAAUCCGGGUUGCGGACAGUGUCUGGUGGGUAGUUUGACUGGGGCGGUCUCCUCCUAAAGAGUAACGGAGGAGCACGAAGGUUGGCUAAUCCUGGUCGGACAUCAGGAGGUUAGUGCAAUGGCAUAAGCCAGCUUGACUGCGAGCGUGACGGCGCGAGCAGGUGCGAAAGCAGGUCAUAGUGAUCCGGUGGUUCUGAAUGGAAGGGCCAUCGCUCAACGGAUAAAAGGUACUCCGGGGAUAACAGGCUGAUACCGCCCAAGAGUUCAUAUCGACGGCGGUGUUUGGCACCUCGAUGUCGGCUCAUCACAUCCUGGGGCUGAAGUAGGUCCCAAGGGUAUGGCUGUUCGCCAUUUAAAGUGGUACGCGAGCUGGGUUUAGAACGUCGUGAGACAGUUCGGUCCCUAUCUGCCGUGGGCGCUGGAGAACUGAGGGGGGCUGCUCCUAGUACGAGAGGACCGGAGUGGACGCAUCACUGGUGUUCGGGUUGUCAUGCCAAUGGCACUGCCCGGUAGCUAAAUGCGGAAGAGAUAAGUGCUGAAAGCAUCUAAGCACGAAACUUGCCCCGAGAUGAGUUCUCCCUGACUCCUUGAGAGUCCUGAAGGAACGUUGAAGACGACGACGUUGAUAGGCCGGAUGUGUAAGCGCAGCGAUGCGUUGAGCUAACCGGUACUAAUGAACCGUGAGGCUUAACC
RNAcentral lists this ribosomal RNA (2894 nucleotides) under Escherichia coli. RNAcentral describes it as "bacterial LSU rRNA". It matches the Rfam family "Bacterial large subunit ribosomal RNA". The record is from RNAcentral. Lineage: Bacteria; Pseudomonadati; Pseudomonadota; Gammaproteobacteria; Enterobacterales; Enterobacteriaceae.